GGUGAGAUGGCCGAGUUGGUUAUGGCGCCAGGUUAAGGUAUACCUUAAUUCAACAAUAUCCUGAAUAUCAACAAUAUCCUGGUGGAGCAAUCCUCGUGGGUUCAAAUCCCACUCUCAUCA
Diatrype stigma is the source of this 120-nucleotide non-coding RNA. NCBI's taxonomy places the organism in Eukaryota, Fungi, Ascomycota, Sordariomycetes, Xylariales, Diatrypaceae. The record is from the annotation of a GenBank genome assembly.